Molecule: ribosomal RNA, 247 nt
Filed under: uncultured bacterium
Lineage: Bacteria
Description: partial 16S ribosomal RNA
Rfam family: Bacterial small subunit ribosomal RNA
Source: RNAcentral
GGGGGCAAGCGUUGUUCGGAAUUACUGGGCGUAAAGGGCUCGUAGGUUGCCAACUAAGUCAGACGUGAAAUCCCUCAGCUUAACUGGGGAACUGCGUCUGAUACUGGAUGGCUUGAGUUUGGGAGAGGGAUGCGGAAUUCCAGGUGUAGCGGUGAAAUGCGCAGAUAUCAGGAAGAACACCUAUGGCGAAGGCAGCUCUCUGGGACGGUACUGACGCUGAGACGCGAAAGCGUGGGGAGCGAACAGG